UGCACAAGAGUAAAGGUAUGUGAAUUACAGACUCCAACUUCAGAAACUGCAGAGAGAAAACUGUAGGAGAAAAGAGCCCUGUCCAGACAGGCUGGCAUAUUGUACUAGUAUGCAAAAGUAAUCUACCCAGCAAUGAAAAACAUUGACUUAUAUGAAUGAGAUCAUUUGACUAUACAUGCAAACUGCCCCAAACUCCGGAUGUCAAGUACAGGCAUAAACCUUCUUGAGAAUAAUUCCUGGUGUUCAGAGCCGGCAUGUUAUACAUGAACUGAUUCAUUUGCUGAACAAGAGGAUAAAUCACAGAACAAAGAAACAGGGCUGAACCAGCCGAAAAUGACAUGACAUUACAAUAAGCACAUAUAUACAUUUCACCAAUAAUCAACUAAGGGUACCAGAAGAAGCAGUGGAAGACAUAACAGAUAACUCCUCCUGAAGAAAGGGUUCCAUUCCGUGAAACUAGUUGAGGAAAGACCUGUCUAUCUCCACUUCAACAGUGGUUAUUUUAUUUUUAUUUUUUUUGUUUCUGUGUG
Molecule: long non-coding RNA, 530 nt
Organism: Rana temporaria (common frog)
Lineage: Eukaryota; Metazoa; Chordata; Amphibia; Anura; Ranidae
Exons: 4
Source: RefSeq, a predicted model, not a curated record